This 497-nucleotide ribosomal RNA is filed under the name uncultured bacterium. RNAcentral describes it as "partial 16S ribosomal RNA". It matches the Rfam family "Bacterial small subunit ribosomal RNA", at positions 28 to 507 of the family's 1533-position model. The record is from RNAcentral.
GACGAACGCUGGCGGCGUGCCUAAUACAUGCAAGUCGAGCGAUGAAGAUUGGUGCUUGCACCAAUUUGAAGAGCAGCGAACGGGUGAGUAACGCGUGGGGAAUCUGCCUUUUAGCGGGGGACAACAUUUGGAAACGAAUUCUAAUACCGCAUAACAACUUUAAACAUAAGUUUUAAGUUUGAAUGAUGCAAUUGCAUCACUCAAAGAUGAUUCCGCGUUGUAUUAGCUAGUGGGUGAGGUAAAGGCCCACCAAGGCGUUGGUACAUAGCCGACCUGAGAGGGUGGUACGCCCACACGGGAACGGGACACGGCCCCAGCCCCUAAGGGGAGGAGGCGGAGGGAAACUUCGGAAAAGGGGGAAAGUCUGGACGAGGCAAGCCGCGUGGGUGAAGAAGGUUUUCGGGUCGUAAAACUCUGUUGGUAGAGAAAGACGUUGGUGAGGGUGGAAAGCUCAUCAAGUGACGGUAACUACCCAGAAAGGGACGGCUAACUACGUG